RNAcentral lists this ribosomal RNA (708 nucleotides) under Sparganium hyperboreum. Its description in RNAcentral is "eukaryotic LSU rRNA". The stretch from base 289 to 444 matches the Rfam family "5.8S ribosomal RNA". Lineage: Eukaryota; Viridiplantae; Streptophyta; Magnoliopsida; Poales; Typhaceae. The record is from RNAcentral.
UAGAGGAAGGAGAAGUCGUAACAAGGUUUCCGUAGGUGAACCUGCGGAAGGAUCAUUAUCGAUACCCGACCAAGACGACCCGCGAACUCGUGAACGAACGUCGGCGGGGCGGGCAUCUGCCCGUUUCGUCGGCCCACCCCGACGUCCCUCCUGCCCUCGGGCGUGGGGGUCGACGGGGACCACGGACGAACCCCGGCGCGACAUGGCGCCAAGGAACACAAGAGAGACGGAAGCGUGGGGACGCCCCCCUUGGGCGCCCCCUGCGGCCGACCAUACUUAUACUUAGAUGACUCUCGGCAACGGAUAUCUAGGCUCUCCCAUCGAUGAAGAACGCAGCGAAGUGCGAUACCUGGUGUGAAUUGCAGAAUCCCGUGAACCAUCGAGUCUUUGAACGCAAGUUGCGCCCGAGGCCUUCUGGCCGAGGGCACGCCUGCCUGGGCGUCACGCAAACGACGCUCCGCCCCCUUGGCCCCCUGGGCGGGCGGCGGACGCGGACGAUGGCCCUCCGCGCCCACGGACGCGGCGGGCUGAAGCACGGGCCGUCGGCAGGGACCGAGACACGGCGAGUGGUGGACGUAUCUUCACGCGAGCCGGACGUCGUGCCUUAGGCUCCCUUCGAGGAAGGCCCUCCGGACCCUUUGAACCGAGGCGCUUGCCGUCAUCGGACCGCGACCCCAGGUCAGGCGGGACUACCCGCUGAGUUUAAGC